Molecule: long non-coding RNA, 2270 nt
Organism: Diceros bicornis minor
Lineage: Eukaryota; Metazoa; Chordata; Mammalia; Perissodactyla; Rhinocerotidae
Exons: 7
Source: RefSeq, a predicted model, not a curated record
AUGGAUGUUCAAGCCAGACAUUGCCAGAAGAACUACAUCUCUUCACCCAUAGAAAAAUGAAUGAUGUGACCAUUUGGUGCAGGACAACAGCAUUAUGUUCACCAGUCUCUGUACUGUAUGUUACUGCACAGCACGGACUGUAGGAAAAAGCCCAGAGGAGCAAUGAAGACAAAGAAGACACGACACCUGCAAAAAGUCAGUGAAGUAUUUCUACACAACAAACCUUCCAGGCUGCCAUGAUCCUCCCUCUGGACCCUGUGGUCAGGGUCGCUGCAGAGAUCCUCCCUUUGGACCCCGCCUGCCUGAAGGGCCCAUACCUUGGUCAGGAGUCUUAGAAGGACUGCCGUGAGCCAUGUCAUAAAAAGGAGAAAACAUCACAUUGGACAGCCCCAAUUCCUGCAUAUACAGACGGGAAACUUAGGUGCACUGGGUCCCUUGAGAGUCCAUAUGAAUUUUAGGAUAGAUUUUUCUAUUUGUGCAAAAAACAUCAUUAGAAUUUUUACCUCCUUGAGUUCUCCGCCACCAACUUCCAUAACCAUCAGGAUAUUCUACAACUUCUGCAAGAGUAACAAUUUUACCUUACACUGUAUUUGUCUCAUGUGGUUUAAAACAUCCAGAAAUCAUUGAUAAACUGACCCUGCCCAAACUAAAGCAUGGUGAGUUAUAAAAGAUGGUCGCUGUUAAGUGGGGAGGGAUUGCAGGUUGAACUUAAUUUUAUAAGUGGUCAAUUUAUUACAAUAUAUUGUUCUAUUAUCUAUUUCACUUCUUUUUUAAAAAAAGUGAUAUUUGAGGGCACUUAGAUAAUAAAAAGUUGAGAAGAUAACGAACUGAUAUACUCUGUAAGCUUGAAAUGUUUUCAAGCAUAAGAUACAAUAAGAACUAAAACUAAGAAAUGACAGAGGAAAUAGAGAUAAGAGGAUGAAAUUGCAAAACUGAAUCUAUAAUAAUAUCUCAAUGGCUAGCGCUGUGGUGCCAAGAAGGUGGUGAAGUCAAAGAAUUCGUAAAGAUGAUAAUAGACUGCAAAGAAAAAAGACUGAAAUUUUUGCAGAGAGAAUUUUUACAGCGAUAUUACAGAUAGAGAACAGGGAAGAGAAGUUGGAGUGAGAGACUAUCUUCUUAAAUUACUUCCACUGUAGAGAACAAAAAACCAAUUUGCUGAAAUCUUUAUUCCCUUCUAUGACCCUGUGGAAGAUCAAGAUUUGGCCACCCUGAAAUCUAUCUCUUUACCUUGGUUGUUUUCUCUGAGGGCAUUUGACCUCCCCCACUAACUGCCUAAAGUAUUUAAAACAAAACAUCUGUUUCAGGAAGGAGUUAUUAUCAUGAUGGCUGUAAAUAUAAUGUACAAUAGAUGUUACAAUAGAAAAGACACCAACAAGCCCAUCUUAUCAGAAGUUCUGUCUCUGACCAUAUUCUUUGGAUGGCCCUGCAAGGAGUUGCCAGACAGACAUUUACAUUUAUAAGGGAAAUCUCCAUUUGUAAAGGUAUCUGCCUCUCUGAAUUGGGAAGAGGGGGAAUGACCUCAUUUCUAGAAACUUAUCAAUGUAAAAGGUGAGGCCUUAAAUCUGCAUAAUAACCUCACUCUUGUUUACUGUGCUUUAGUGGUAAUCUCCUGUAACUGACUCCCCCCACCCCCAACAUCUUCCUUUGUCAUUGGCUGAACAUGAUAUUUAAGAUGAGAAUUCUGCUAUUGUGUUGAGAAACGUAGUGUCUUUGCUUUCUCCCAUGCAUACAUGUUAUUAAACUUGGUAUUAUUUUCUCCUUCUAACCUGUCUUGUUAAUUAUUUGGCCAGCCAUAAGAACCUUAAGGAAAAGGGCAGAGGGAGAUUCUCCCUCUAUCCCGACAACACUAUCUUUACGUGCAAAAUCUCAGCCCUGAAUGAAUGUCACAUUCCUCCUUUUGCAUCCCUGGGGAACAGGGCAAAUAAGCUCAUCUGAAACCUCAGCUGCCCAGCCUGUGAAAUAAGGCCGGCCAUCCAUUCUCACAGAGGAGCCAACUGGAGCCAGAAGAACCUUAAGGGAAAGGGCAGAGGGAGAUUCUCCCUCUUCCCCCGACAGUUUUGGCGUAGUCGCCAGGAGCCACACUGGCUGGCAAGUUGCCUUCUCUGGCUGGAAGACCUGCCUUCUCCCUGGACUACUGCAGAUGGUGAGAUACGGGAACGCCUGACAAAAGCCGGCAAAAGGUAAGACUUCUUACCAUGUCAGCCUCUCGGAAUCUCUAUCUGCGGAGUCUGGCGGAAGGAAAUGGCGUAACCUUGAGAGCCCACCUGCAU